UCGCGGACGUUCUCCCUCGUCGCGUCCGCAGCGCUACCGCGACUUCAACAUCGCCUAGGUGCCCCCUACUUGGUUUCAGGCCAUUGCACCAAACGCGCAUCUCCAAAGUGCCAUCGAGUUUCAUCUCACCUCACGGUGGCCAGGGAUCUUCCAAGGUUUCCUCGACCGUGUGGCGCUCGUUUUGUGCUCACGUAAGGUCAGUGAAGCUCAUCAACUUGGAAUUUUUAACUCUACUAUUUUGUGCUGACCAGAACAGAACUCCGCCGCCGUGGUUUGGCGCCGUGAAUUACCCCUGCGUCGACCCGUUAACUCGCGCCAUUUCCGGUCGAGUUCACACGCGCACUAUAGGUUUGUGAGAUCACUGAAGCUCUCUGGUAAAUGUGUUUUUGGGAUCCUUAGUGCAGUUUACAAAUUUUAAGUAAUUUAAGUGUGUUCUAAAAAGGAUUAAUUGAAUAUUUAGGGAGCAAAUGUGAGCACCAAAAAUUGUGAGAACUUUUGAGAGUCUUGUUAUCAGAAGAUAAACUCUUGGUAAAAGUUUGUGGCUGUUUGUAAGCCAUUUGCUCUGAAAUCCUUGUAGAGUCCCUAAUUGGAAUAAUAAGAAGAACAUAAUCACAUGUGGAUUAGAACUUUGGAAGAAGGAACAAGUUUAACAAGUGAAACCUGAUCUUUGGAUAAAGAAGUAAGAGUGCAUAGUGGGAUCUGGAUUUUUGGCGUAGUUUGAAGAUUGUUCUAAUCCUCUAGAAGUUCAAGUUGUAGGAUUCAAGUCAGAGAAGUAAGUCCUUACUUAAGGCAAGCAUAGAGUUCUUGGUUAUGGAGGCAGAGUUCCCUGGUGUGGUCUGAGAGCUUAGUGAUGAUAUUAGAAUGUUUAGCUCCCCUAUUGUUUGGUUAGUUUUGUGUGCACCUUUAGUAAGGUGUAGUUUGUACUGCUUUAAAGUAUUUUUGUAGUUGCAUAAGUAUAUGCAUUCAUGUUCAUAUCAUUUCAUGUAGAGCUCCCAGCAGAAGGAGUGUAAAUUCAAGAUGAAGUGGUUGUGGAAGAGGAGUUUGCUCCAGUGCCUAUUCAUCAAGUGGAUGGAGCUAUCUAACUGGUUAUUGGGUAGAAGAUCUAGAACCUCUUCUCUGCAACAAAGGCAAGCCCCGGUGCAUUUGCCACCUCCCUUGUGUUUACAAAAUUUUAUCACUUAUAUGUUGCAUUAGGUAAUAGGAGUUGAUUGAUUAAACACUUGAUGCAUUACCAUCCUUGAAAGAUUGAUUAUCAUACCUUGUCACCUGUUUUAUAAAAGCUAGAGAUGCUUAGUCAUGCUGAUAGACUAAGAAAAAUGUUUUUGAUCUAUGACUCAUGUUUUUUUACAAACAAGAAAAUGGGCUUGGGAUAAUGAAGGCAUCAAGACGUUGAUAAAUUCAUUAUCCAAGCAUGGCCCCUCUGUCAGGCGCCAAAAUUUUGAAAUAGUUUAAAAUGGGACCAGACGCUGAGCAGGAAAGGUCGCCCGUCUGUGUCGAUUAAGGACCGUACCGAUUGUUGGCCUGAUGAUCUAGGACCUUUUAACUGGCCACAUACCUCGUCAUGGGUAAGCCUGAACCCGUCUAUUCCAUACGUGAAAAGACAACCGCGCACUGGGCGUGGGAGAUGGUGGGAGUAGCAGUUACCCUCCUGGCAAGAGGCUGAAUGGUAGGGUAAUGUGCUCCCGGGUAGCGCGGAUCGGUUCAUGUAGUGGAGGAUCCGUGGGAAUGGUUGACAUAUGCAAGGGUUAAGUGCUACAUACGUCGUGUGGUUGGAGAUCCCCAGCUGGGUAUUAAUCGAUUCGGAUCGCCGUUACUUCUCGGAUAUGAAGACUGGAUCGCUGCCCUUCAUCGUAGAUAACAAGCGAAACAAAAUUUGGAUUUUAAAAGAAAGUUAGUAUAGGACAAGUGAAUGAUCUAGAUUAGGAAAUUGUUAGAUUCAGGCUAGAAGAUUCAGGUAAUAAACUAACUUGUGAAAUAAAACUUGGCUUAAGGACCCAUUUCUAGUAAGCUUUUCUGCAAAGUGAGUCCUUGAACUUUGAUGAGCUUUACCUUGAUUCCCAAAAGCCAGCAUACCCUUGAGAGUCUUUUCUUUAGUCGGGUAAGUCUUGCUGAGUAAUUGCAUACUCAGGGUUUUAUCCCUUGUUGUUUUUGUAGGAGAAGUUUUAUUCCCUUAUCUUUGGGUUAGUUACUUCAUGUGGAGGACUUGAAGCUUAGAAGGUUUUUAUAUAUCUCUUAUGGAAAGGCUUCACCCUUCCAAUUAUUGUAGUUAAGUUAUGCCCUUCGAGUACUAUCAGGACUUGUAAUAAAUACAUCUCUUUCUACCAUGUAAAACUUGAGUUCUGGAAUGUAAAGUGUACUUUGUAAAAGUCUUCCGCUCUAUCUCCAAUGUGUGUGUAUUAAAUGUGAUUACUGUAAUAUACCUGUUAUGUGGGAGAUCCUUGGGAUGAUGAGUUCCAGUUGGCGAACUCGAUAGCCUUGUUAAGUUAUCCGGUACACGUGUACAGCCAUCUUAGGCCAUUAAGGCAAGGAUUGGUGCAUGUGGGCCUGAUAACUUGGGAGGGCUGUCACAGCGUGGUAUCGGAGCGAUCCCCCAUUAUCAUGGAUAUUAAAGUAAUCCUUUGAUAGGCUUCAAAAGGAUUUUGAGUCCAAAGUAUUUUGAAAAAAAAAACUUAAGAAUGAAUAAGCAAGUCCUAAUAGUCGAAGUGCAAAUAGUAUAUGGUUAAGUUAAGGACUAUAAGGUGGCUUAGUUUAAGAUGCUAACCACUAACCCACAACUAUAAUGCAAUUUUCUGCAGGUACACUAACUAAACCCUAGGAAAGUGCGACUAGUGUUCAAUAACGGAGUGAGUAGGUAUGCCACCGUCAUAGAACGUGAUAACUACUAUAUGUUGGCAAGAGUUGCAAGGACGAAUAGGACGAGCAUGCAUCAUGACAUACAAUUUUAAGUUAAACCCCCUAUGUAAUAGCUUAGUACAUGUUUCAUCCAUCCUACUCAUGCUACCUAUCUUUGAUUUUUUUAUACUAAGUUUUCCUACUUGAAACUCAUUUCAUUUGAUUGAAAUGUAGUUUAUAAGGUACAGUUGCUAAAGGAUCUUUCCAUAGUGCACAACAUGUUUCACAUAUCUCAGUUGAAGAAAUGUCUUCGGGUUCCCAAACUGGGUGUUGAGAUUUCAGAUGUUAACCUUGGACCAGAUUUAACCAACUUGGAAUAUUCCAUAAAGGUUUUGGAUCAAAAGGAUCGGUCACUUGAAGAAAACUUAUCAAGUUUGCAGGAUGCAGUGGAACUAACACCCGGAAGAUAAAACCACAUGGGAAUUAGAGGAGUAUUUAGAUGUGAACCAGGAAGGGUACACCCCUGUCUUGUAGGGGUAAUGGGGAAAUAAGUCAGUGACACAUUUCCUUUUCCAUUACCUAGCCUAGAGUUUUAAAUCUCGGGACGAGAUUUCUUUUUAGGGGGGAAGACUGUAACACCCCUGGUGUUACGUUAACUAAAACUCUGACAUGUCAUCAUAAGCAUUUGCAUUAUCUGGUUUGAUAUACCUAGAAUGCAUUCAAUAGGUCAAACUUUUUCAAAAGUGUGAUGUUGUGUGUUGGGUUUAGAGUUUAGUUUAAGGACUAGGCCUAAGCUAGACAAGAGUAGGUCAUCUCUUGAGCAAGUAACAAAUGAACUUGGAGUCUUUGAGUGCUAAAGGCAAGUCUUAGAGUCUAUAGCAACUUUGUUUUCAAAGAUAGAUCAAGUGGAAGAAAUACUUGGACCGAAGGAUUAACUUCAAAACCCUAAGGCUUGAAUACAUUGUUUGAAAUUGAGUGUAAGCAAACAACUCUUAAACCAAGGACACUUUUGACAUGAGUUCUAUAUGCCAAGGUCGGAUUUGAGACUAAGGAGUUAUUUCUCUUAGGUGGACGAAUCACUGAAAGAAAUAAUAGCCACAUUUGAAGCCCUAAAACUAGCCCAAGAGUGGAAUUCAAAAUCUAGUGACGAUUGGCUAAAAGUCCAUAUAUUAAAGUUGUAGUACAUGGGAAAUAAAACAACUUUCUUAUUUGGAGAUUCCCAUGUUGUGUGAAGAAAAUUGGAGUAAAUCACAAAAGUUCAGUUUUGAGCUCAAAUUGGAAUUUGCUGAAAAUAGUAGCAACUAGGCAAUUUUGGUCCUUUAUAACUUCUGAUCUAUAAACAUUUUGAAGAUAGUCAUUAUAACAAAGUUAUAGAGCUACAUGAGGAGUAUAAGUUUGGUUAAGUCAUAUAGCUCUAAAACUAUUUGGAACUUGGAGUAAAACUGGUCCAAAAUAGAGCUGUCACAGAUUGUCAAAUUCAGACUUGGAGUAAAUUCAGAUUCUGAAUUUCUGUGUUCGAUGCAAACGUUGGGCUAGUGUGGUUUGGAAUCCAGGAGGUUUUGGUUAAUGACCACUAUACAAAACUUGUAAAUCCAUGAUAGUAUAACAAUUCUUAUUAAGUGAUAUAGUCCCAAAACUAUAUUUACUGGUAGAAAAGAUAGUCCAAAUGUUGAUUGACAGAUUUUUCCAGUUUUCAGACUUAAAACAGUAGUCUGAACCUGAGUUUCAGUAUUUUGAGCUGUUUUUGGAGAUCAAUUGUGCCUAAUCCAUGAGGUUUUGGGCUGUAGAAUAUAUAGAGUAAUUAAAUACCAUAUGAUGGUGAAUAAGUCUCCUUAAGUGACUUUGGUUUGAUCCUACACAAAAGUUGGAGAGAAAGCUUGCUCAAAGUUGGACUGACAGAUAGUGCUUUAACUGCAUUUGGUUCAGUUCUGAAAUCUUAAAUUUGUUGUAUGGUGCCAAGUUUGGAGCCCUUUUGUGGCUGUUUUGUAAGGUUUUAUACUAUGGUGCUUGUAGAGGAAUUAAAUACCAUAUAUUGGUGAACAACUUCCUUAAAGGGUGAUGGACAUGACCCCAUACAAGAAUUGGAGUAAGAACUGCUUAAAUUGGGACUGUGUUGUGGCUGAAACUGAAUUAUAUUCAGUUAUUGAAAACUGAAUUUCAGUGAAAGUUGCUGAGUUUGGAGCCCAUUUGCAGCUGAUUCAUGCAGUUAUAGGCUAAGAAAGCUAUACAAAGGUGGAUGAUCAUGUGUUGGUGUAUACGUUUGGUUAAGGAUUAUACCCCUAAAGCUACUUGGAACUAGGAGAAAAGGUUGCCUAAAUAUGGACUGUCAGGUUACUUGGACUGAGUUUUUGUUCAGAACUAAAAUCUGAAUUUUAGUGAAUAGUGCUCAGUUUAGAGCUCUGUUGUGAUUAAUCUAUGUGGUUUUAGACUGUAUUUUCUAUAUCAAAGUUGAAUAUCAUCUAAUAGUGAACAAGUUUCUUUAAGCCAGUGUGACGUGGUGCUGCACAAAAGUUGGAGUAAAAUGUGCCGAAAUUCUCUCUGUCAGACAUGUGUGUUCAGUCUCUUAUUCAGUUAGCUGCAGCUGGUUCCUAGUGUAUUCACCUCACUCUGGAGCGUUAUAACUUUUGAUCUAUGAAUCUUUGACCUAAGGUUCCUGAAGUAAACUUGUAAAGUUACAUUUUGUGAACAAACUUUAUUAACCAAGGUUGACAUGUAUUGCUUGGAAUCAUGAGGAUCGAAGGGGUUACAAAUGAGGGUUCAGUUUGGUGCCAAAUUCAGUUCAGAUUCUGAAACGUAUUCAGUUUUGCUGAAUUUUUAGAAACCAUGUAUUCCUUUCAGUGUUGGACCCUUCUAACUCUUAAUUCUUGGUGAAUGACCAUUACAUCAAACUUGGAGAUCUAUUAUGGAGGAAUACUUCUUAUGAUGAAGGAUCUCCCUGUUCUUAUUUUAGAUUAGAAGAAAACUUUGCUCCAAGUCGAGCUGUUGGGCUGGUGGUGGACUGAAUAUUGUUCAGCUGACUGAAACCGGUUCAAUUUUAGUGAGAAAAAGAUCUCCAUGCCACUGAUGUUUAUCCUGUACAUGUGCUCAGUUCUCUAAAUUUUUCUCCUUUGUUCCACUCGUUCUUAUCCAAUAUCUAGUACACGUACUCCCUGGAAGUCUCUCCGUGCGUUGUCUCAUCUCCAGAAAUCCACGUGCAGCCCUGAGCAGUGAGCACUAGCUUCUCCACGUCAUAUAUCCCCUCACCCCAUCGCUUAGGCAGCAGCAGCCGAGCUCCCUUCUCGUAGUGCCCCUCGCAUUCCUGUUCUCAGCCCGCUCUCCUCUCUGCUCGGUCUCCCCAGUACUUGCCUCACCUGGACACGUCGUUCUGUUGUUACCACUUGCCAGUCACGAUCUCUUCCUUCCUGGAGUUUGCGUGUUGGGAGUCCGUGGAUCAUGGCUGAAACUGCACGCGUUCUCGUCUCCUUCUCUGGCACAUCAUUGUGUGGAGCUGCUGAACGCCACUGUCUCUAGCUCCUGUAUCGUCGUGCCGGCGCUCGGCUCCCCAACUUCGCUGUUGCCUACUGGACCUGCUGCUCUCUCUGCAACAGCUCGUCGGCUCCCUAGAAAUUCCCCAGCCGUCGCCUGCCUUCUCGCGGACGUUCUCCCUCGUCGCGUCCGCAGCGCUACCGCGACUUCAACAUCGCCCAGGUGCCCCCUACUCGGUUUCAGGCCAUUGCACCAAACGCGCAUCUCCAAAGUGCCAUCGAGUUUCAUCUCACCUCACGGUGGCCAGGGAUCUUCCAAGGUUUCCUCGACCGUGUGGCGCUCGUUUUGUGCUCACGUAAGGUCAGUGAAGCUCAUCAACUUGGAAUUUUUAACUCUACUAUUUUGUGCUGACCAGAACAGAACUCCGCCGCCGUGGUUUGGCGCCGUGAAUUACCCCUGCGUCGACCCGUUAACUCGCGCCAUUUCCGGUCGAGUUCACACGCGCACUAUAGGUUUGUGAGAUCACUGAAGCUCUCUGGUAAAUGUGUUUUUGGGAUCCUUAGUGCAGUUUACAAAUUUUAAGUAAUUUAAGUGUGUUCUAAAAAGGAUUAAUUGAAUAUUUAGGGAGCAAAUGUGAGCACCAAAAAUUGUGAGAACUUUUGAGAGUCUUGUUAUCAGAAGAUAAACUCUUGGUAAAAGUUUGUGGCUGUUUGUAAGCCAUUUGCUCUGAAAUCCUUGUAGAGUCCCUAAUUGGAAUAAUAAGAAGAACAUAAUCACAUGUGGAUUAGAACUUUGGAAGAAGGAACAAGUUUAACAAGUGAAACCUGAUCUUUGGAUAAAGAAGUAAGAGUGCAUAGUGGGAUCUGGAUUUUUGGCGUAGUUUGAAGAUUGUUCUAAUCCUCUAGAAGUUCAAGUUGUAGGAUUCAAGUCAGAGAAGUAAGUCCUUACUUAAGGCAAGCAUAGAGUUCUUGGUUAUGGAGGCAGAGUUCCCUGGUGUGGUCUGAGAGCUUAGUGAUGAUAUUAGAAUGUUUAGCUCCCCUAUUGUUUGGUUAGUUUUGUGUGCACCUUUAGUAAGGUGUAGUUUGUACUGCUUUAAAGUAUUUUUGUAGUUGCAUAAGUAUAUGCAUUCAUGUUCAUAUCAUUUCAUGUAGAGCUCCCAGCAGAAGGAGUGUAAAUUCAAGAUGAAGUGGUUGUGGAAGAGGAGUUUGCUCCAGUGCCUAUUCAUCAAGUGGAUGGAGCUAUCUAACUGGUUAUUGGGUAGAAGAUCUAGAACCUCUUCUCUGCAACAAAGGCAAGCCCCGGUGCAUUUGCCACCUCCCUUGUGUUUACAAAAUUUUAUCACUUAUAUGUUGCAUUAGGUAAUAGGAGUUGAUUGAUUAAACACUUGAUGCAUUACCAUCCUUGAAAGAUUGAUUAUCAUACCUUGUCACCUGUUUUAUAAAAGCUAGAGAUGCUUAGUCAUGCUGAUAGACUAAGAAAAAUGUUUUUGAUCUAUGACUCAUGUUUUUUUACAAACAAGAAAAUGGGCUUGGGAUAAUGAAGGCAUCAAGACGUUGAUAAAUUCAUUAUCCAAGCAUGGCCCCUCUGUCAGGCGCCAAAAUUUUGAAAUAGUUUAAAAUGGGACCAGACGCUGAGCAGGAAAGGUCGCCCGUCUGUGUCGAUUAAGGACCGUACCGAUUGUUGGCCUGAUGAUCUAGGACCUUUUAACUGGCCACAUACCUCGUCAUGGGUAAGCCUGAACCCGUCUAUUCCAUACGUGAAAAGACAACCGCGCACUGGGCGUGGGAGAUGGUGGGAGUAGCAGUUACCCUCCUGGCAAGAGGCUGAAUGGUAGGGUAAUGUGCUCCCGGGUAGCGCGGAUCGGUUCAUGUAGUGGAGGAUCCGUGGGAAUGGUUGACAUAUGCAAGGGUUAAGUGCUACAUAUGUCGUGUGGUUGGAGAUCCCCAGCUGGGUAUUAAUCGAUUCGGAUCGCCGUUACUUCUCGGAUAUGAAGACUGGAUCGCUGCCCUUCAUCGUAGAUAACAAGCGAAACAAAAUUUGGAUUUUAAAAGAAAGUUAGUAUAGGACAAGUGAAUGAUCUAGAUUAGGAAAUUGUUAGAUUCAGGCUAGAAGAUUCAGGUAAUAAACUAACUUGUGAAAUAAAACUUGGCUUAAGGACCCAUUUCUAGUAAGCUUUUCUGCAAAGUGAGUCCUUGAACUUUGAUGAGCUUUACCUUGAUUCCCAAAAGCCAGCAUACCCUUGAGAGUCUUUUCUUUAGUCGGGUAAGUCUUGCUGAGUAAUUGCAUACUCAGGGUUUUAUCCCUUGUUGUUUUUGUAGGAGAAGUUUUAUUCCCUUAUCUUUGGGUUAGUUACUUCAUGUGGAGGACUUGAAGCUUAGAAGGUUUUUAUAUAUCUCUUAUGGAAAGGCUUCACCCUUCCAAUUAUUGUAGUUAAGUUAUGCCCUUCGAGUACUAUCAGGACUUGUAAUAAAUACAUCUCUUUCUACCAUGUAAAACUUGAGUUCUGGAAUGUAAAGUGUACUUUGUAAAAGUCUUCCGCUCUAUCUCCAAUGUGUGUGUAUUAAAUGUGAUUACUGUAAUAUACCUGUUAUGUG
This 8891-nucleotide long non-coding RNA is filed under the name Zea mays. RNAcentral describes it as "long non-coding RNA (ZMAY_LNC000943)". Lineage: Eukaryota; Viridiplantae; Streptophyta; Magnoliopsida; Poales; Poaceae. The record is from RNAcentral.